UCCGGUUGAUCCUGCCGGAGGCCAUUGCUAUUGGAGUUCGACUUAGCCAUGCUAGUCGUACGAGUUCAGACUCGUGGCGAAUAGCUCAGUAACACGUGGUCAAACUACCCUGUGGACCGGGAUAACCUCGGGAAACUGAGGCUAAUCCCAGAUAGGGCUCCCAGCCUGGAAUGGCGGGAGCUUGAAAUGCUCCGGCGCCACAGGAUGUGACUGCGGCCGAUUAGGUAGACGGUGGGGUAACUGCCCACCGUGCCGAUAAUCGGUACAGGUCAUGAGAGUGAGAGCCUGGAGACGGGAUCUGAGACAAGAUCCCGGGCCCUACGGGGCGCAGCAGGCGCGAAACCUUUACAAUGCACGCAAGUGCGAUAAGGGAACUCCAAGUGCGAGGGCAUACAGUCCUCGCUUUUCUGCACUGUAUAGGAGGUGCAAGAAUAAGGGACUGGGUCA
Molecule: ribosomal RNA, 447 nt
Filed under: uncultured haloarchaeon
Lineage: Archaea; Methanobacteriati; Methanobacteriota; Halobacteria; Halobacteriales; Halobacteriaceae
Description: bacterial SSU rRNA
Rfam family: Archaeal small subunit ribosomal RNA
Source: RNAcentral